UAAUAGAUACCCUGGUAGUCCACGCCGUAAACGAUGAGUACUAGGUGUAGGGGGUAUCGACCCCCCUGUGCCGCAGUAAACACAAUAAGUACUCCGCCUGGGAAGUACGAUCGCAAGAUUAAAACUCAAAGGAAUUGACGGGGGACCCGCACAAGCAGCGGAGCAUGUGGUUUAAUUCGAAGCAACGCGAAGAACCUUACCUGGACUUGACAUCCCCUGAAUAACUUGUAAUGGAGGAAACCCUUCGGGGCAGGGAGACAGGUGGUGCAUGGUUGUCGUCAGCUCGUGUCGUGAGAUGUUAGGUUAAGUCCUGCAACGAGCGCAACCCCCUGUCGUUAGUUGCCAUCACGUAAAGGUGGGCACCCUAACGAGACUGCCGCGGUUAACGUGGAGGAAGGUGGGGAUGACGUCAAAUCAUCAUGCCCCUUAUGUCCAGGGCAACACACGUGCUACAAUGGGCAGAACAGAGAGAAGCAAUACCGCGAGGAGGAGCAAAUCUCAAAAACCUGCCCCCAGUUCGGAUUGCAGGCUGAAACCCG
Molecule: ribosomal RNA, 539 nt
Filed under: uncultured bacterium
Lineage: Bacteria
Description: bacterial SSU rRNA
Rfam family: Bacterial small subunit ribosomal RNA
Source: RNAcentral